GAGUUUGAUCCUGGCUCAGAACGAACGCUGGCGGCAGGCCUAACACAUGCAAGUCGAACGAGCUGAGACCUUCGGGUCUCGAUGCUAGUGGCGCACGGGUGAGUAACGCGUGGGAACGUACCCUUUAGUACGGAAUAACGCAGGGAAACUUGCGCUAAUACCGUAUACGCCCUCCGGGGGAAAGAUUUAUCGCUAAAGGAUCGGCCCGCGUCUGAUUAGGUAGUUGGUGAGGUAACGGCUCACCAAGCCGACGAUCAGUAGCUGGUCUGAGAGGAUGAUCAGCCACACUGGGACUGAGACACGGCCCAGACUCCUACGGGAGGCAGCAGUGGGGAAUAUUGGACAAUGGGCGAAAGCCUGAUCCAGCCAUGCCGCGUGAGUGAAGAAGGCCUUCGGUUG
RNAcentral lists this ribosomal RNA (399 nucleotides) under uncultured Alphaproteobacteria bacterium. RNAcentral's name for it is "bacterial SSU rRNA". It matches the Rfam family "Bacterial small subunit ribosomal RNA", at positions 9 to 425 of the family's 1533-position model. Lineage: Bacteria; Pseudomonadati; Pseudomonadota; Alphaproteobacteria. The record is from RNAcentral.